CGCCUGCAUGAAGUUGGAAUCGCUAGUAAUCGCGAAUCAGAAUGUCGCGGUGAAUACGUUCCCGGGUCUUGUACACACCGCCCGUCACACCAUGGGAGUCGGAAAUGCCCGAAGUCAGUGACCCAACCGUAAGGAGGGAGCUGCCGAAGGUGGAGCCGGUAACUGGGGUGAAGUCGUAACAAGGUACC
RNAcentral lists this ribosomal RNA (188 nucleotides) under uncultured bacterium. RNAcentral's name for it is "partial 16S ribosomal RNA". It matches the Rfam family "Bacterial small subunit ribosomal RNA", at positions 1313 to 1500 of the family's 1533-position model. The record is from RNAcentral.